This is a long non-coding RNA of Gallus gallus (chicken), 2311 nucleotides long. The record is from Ensembl. Lineage: Eukaryota; Metazoa; Chordata; Aves; Galliformes; Phasianidae.
AUCAUUGCGGCCCUGCUCUGAGCCCACUCAACAGCUCCACACCUUUCUGUGCUGUGGGCCAGCAGGCCUGGACACAGUACUCCAAAUGGGGCCUCAUGAGGGCGGAGUAGAGAGUCACCUCCCUCCCCCUGCUGGCCACCCUUCUUAUGCUGGAACCCCCCUUUUGAAACAGCCCAGGAUACUGCUGGUUCAUAUUUUCUGUCUACCACGAUCCCUAAGUCCUUCUCUGCAGGACUGCUCUCAGUGAGUUCUCCCAGUCUGCACACAUAUCUGGGAUUGCCCUGAUUCAAAUGCAACAGCUUGUUCUUGGCCUUCUUGUACCUCAUUAGGUUCAUGUGGGCCAACCUUUCAAGUUUGUCCAGGGAUGCCCCUGGAUGGCAUCCCUUCCUUCUGUUAUAUCAGUUGCACCACUCAGCUUGAUGUCAUCAGUAAAGUUGCUGAGAUUGCACUCAAUCCCAUCUACGUCAUUUAUAUUAAUGUUAAAAAGCACUGGUCCCAAGAUGGACCCCCAGAGGAUGCCACUAUGACCAGCCUCCACUUGGACACAGAAUCAUUGAUCACAGUGCUCUGGCUUUGGCCUUCCAACCAAUUAUUUAUCCACUAAAUAGUCCACCCUUGGAAAUUCUCUCUCCCCAAUUCAGAGAAAAGGAUGUGGUUCAGGACCAUGUCAAAGCCCUUGCACAAGUCCUGGUAGACAACAUCAGUUGCCAUUCCUUUGUCCAUCGAAUAUGUCACACCACUGUAGAAGGCCACUAGACUCGUCAGGCCCUUAGUGAAGCUACUCUGGCUAUUUUGGAUCACAUCCUCAUCUCACAGGUGCCUUAAGAUGUCUUCUAGGAGGAUCUAUGCCACAGUCUUCUUAAGCACAAAGGGAAUUGUUCUCAAGUACUGCCAAAGAUAAUUAAGCAUCAAAUUGUGCAACAUUUCGUUCCUAUUUUACUGCCAGAAGAAAAGAGCUGGAUUGAAGAUUUUUCUUUGGACACAGUCAGAUUUGAAGGUCCUGAAGUUCCAUUGUGUUCACACUGAUAUGACAGCAGAAAUAAGUAGAGGUUGGAUUAGCUGUGUUUGCCUUGAAAUGAAACAAUCCUUGGAUAGCGUAAAGAUGAUGCUGAGACUCUUACCUCUUACUGGCUUCUUCUGACUUAUGGGAAAUGGAACAUUCCAAAGGUGUGUCAGCGUGGCCAGAACAGCUCACACUCCUUCACAUCUGCCUUUGAAUAAAAAAUUAAAAUAGUUAAUCAGAUUUGUCACCUAAGCCUAUGGAAAAAGGCUGAGUAGAAAUAUAACUAAAGAAUUAUUACCUGUUCCUGUUCAGUGUUCAUGUUGAAUAGAAUUGCUACCAGCUGCCCUAGGUUUAACAGCAGAGCAACUUAGACCUUUGAUUUUCGUUUGUAAUUUCCACUAAACUAUUCACCUUGUUUGUACCCUGAGAUGUUGAUGAAAAGCUGUGCCAGAAUGUUGUCUUCACCUGAGAAUAGAAAGGAGAUAGGAGGAUGUCCAAAUGGCAAUUGCCAGCACUUUUCAGACUGCAUGCAGAACGUUGUCUGGCCAAAAAGAAUUUGUCCCCCAGUUCAAACCUUCAUAAAGGAGCCACAGAGAAAUCUGAUUAGCUAUUCUGUACUCAAGACCAAAAGCAGAAAACCAUAGAUCUUAAUCACCAUUCCCUUGGCUAUAUAGCUGCAUAUAUCACAAAAGUGAGCGUUAAAUGCUGGCAGAUCAAAAUGAUCCACUCCAGAUCCAGACCUCUAUGCUGGUUGCUUCCCUGUGGCAUAACUGAGUAGCUGGGACUGAGGCAAUACACAGAGCACUUAGUGCAGUACACUGCUGCGGAAGCACUGUGUUCAUUGUUAGGUACAUCUUUACCGUUCAUGGUUUGGCUUAACAGUCUGUCUGGAAUAGUAUCUGUUCUAACAGUGUGUCUGGCUAACAAGCACUUAUUUAUCCAAAGCACAAAGAGAUUUCUAAGUAACACAGGCUAUUCCAUUACUCACCUACCUAGUUGCAGCUAAUAAAUCAAAGCUCUUCUUGUUCUUUUAUCCUAAUAUCCUGGCCUCGUUUCUAAAAGUAGUGCCUCCACGUUUGUUGUGCAUGUGAUAAAUUCACUUACAAAUCCAAUCCUACAGGCACCCUACAGCUUUGCAGACACAUCUGUUAGGACAUUCUUCAAUUUUUUUUUCCAGUUAUAGAGAACAUGUAAAUCAAGUUUCUAUAAAACACCUAAAAAAUCAUAUUCGUCUACAGGAACAUAUAGUGACACAUUUGUUAUAAUCUUCAAUGAGCUGAUGCAUGGAAUUCAUUAAAAUAAUAAAAU